This is a long non-coding RNA of Eubalaena glacialis (North Atlantic right whale), 287 nucleotides long. RefSeq lists it as uncharacterized. NCBI's taxonomy places the organism in Eukaryota, Metazoa, Chordata, Mammalia, Artiodactyla, Balaenidae. The transcript is spliced from 3 exons. The record is from RefSeq and is a predicted model, not a curated record.
CAGAAGGAGAGGGCAGGGGAGCCUGGACUCUGGGGAUGGAGGGCAAGGCUUCUGGCUCCAGAAGCUUGCCCUGGGCAAGCAGAAGGCGAGCAGGUACCAGAGAAAGCUUCACAAAGAAGUGACACUGGAGAUCUUGAAAGAUGGAGAGAGCACAAGGACAGCAAGGACUGAGGCAUGAAGGGGAAAGAGAGAAAGAGAAAGAAAGAGAGGUACUUGUUUCAGCAGUUCACUGCCCAGCAGGACCAAAUUAAGGGCGUAGGCAGAAAUGGAGAGAGCAGCCUUUCUGU